RNAcentral lists this ribosomal RNA (253 nucleotides) under uncultured bacterium. RNAcentral's name for it is "partial 16S ribosomal RNA". It matches the Rfam family "Bacterial small subunit ribosomal RNA", at positions 524 to 776 of the family's 1533-position model. The record is from RNAcentral.
UACGUAGGUGGCAAGCGUUGUCCGGAAUUAUUGGGCGUAAAGCGCGCGUAGGUGGUUUCUUAAGUCUGAUGUGAAAGCCCACGGCUCAACCGUGGAGGGUCAUUGGAAACUGGGGAACUUGAGUGCAGGAGAGAAGAGUGGAAUUCCACGUGUAGCGGUGAAAUGCGUAGAGAUGUGGAGGAACACCAGUGGCGAAGGCGACUCUUUGGCCUGUAACUGACACUGAGGCGCGAAAGCGUGGGGAGCAAACAGG